CGGCCGUCCAGGCGCUGGGCGGGGGCGGGAGCAAGGCGAGGCCGCCUGGCAUCCUGAGGCGAGGGCCGUGACAGUGUGCGCCUGCGCGGGGCGCCAUUCCUUUUCCCCGCUCGCCGACCCCAGGCGCUGGGCCUUUGUCUGAUCCGCUUGGCUUGCGAGGCUGCUGCGGCCGCCGUGUCCUUCUCGUCCGGGCGGUCUCCUUCCUGAGAGUCCGAUCCGACUGUGGGGCUUUAUCCCCCUCCCAUUUUCCGUCAUGCGACUUCCUCUUGGUCGGCACCGCGGCUCGGCGCCGCCCGGCAUACUGGAGCUUCGGCGAAGGGCUGGAACCAGCGCGGGCUCCUGGGCGCUGGCUGCCGAGUGGCAGAAUUCCUCUGAUACUCCUCGGAGGAGAGGCGACCCCCGAGGAGCUGGACGGGUUUCGAAAACUCUUGCUCCGUACGGUUACAAGGGGAGCCGUAAAUGAGCAUUUCUAACGUUCAGUGUAUCUUUGCCUGCCUACAUCAAUCUGCAAGGGAGUUGCAGAAAAGCCUCAUGUUCAUCGAGCCGUGAGUCACAACCAAUUUCUAAGCUGUUAUAACAAAAAAGUGUUUGCUUUUUUUCCACAAGUAACUUUAAAAGUGUAGUUUAGAAAGAAAACAUUUUCAGUAAAAAGACACUACAUUAAUCCUGGAUGCUUGCAAAUCCUGAAAUAUAUUCCUCCUUGACUAUUACACAGCACUGUGUCCUAUACACAGAUUAGCCUUAAAAUUUGUCACAUACCACUUUGCCUUUACUUUUAUGUAUCAUUCCCCCUGACUUCCUUACUGCAGGUGUGGGCAAGAAAACUUUUCCUUUAAAACUUUUCAACAGCGGGCAUAAAAUUCUGCAGCUGAGUUCUUGAAGAAUGCAGAUGGGUACAGUAUGUGUUGGAGUUCACAGUGUGUAUUGACUAACCUGAUUCUUUUUUGCUUUCUUUGGUAUUGUCUUGUUAAAAGUGACUCCCAGGUGCCAGCUUUCAUUUUUAAGGGUGGGGAUGAAAGGGGAAUAAGAAGAAAAGGUCUAGAGAUAUUUAACAGUUAGUAAUAGAGCCUGAAAGCUUUCUUCUUAUUGCAGUUUUUGAUAAACCACUGCCUAUAAUUUGACUAUAACAAAAAGAUUAAUAAAUAGCUUUGCUUGGUGGAAAUUACCAGCUCUAAGUCAUACAUGGUAGAUUCAUGGCACUCUGAUUACAUAGGUCUUAGUGUCUCAUUGCCCACAUGUAUAUUUGGGCUGGUGCCUUUUGGUACUCACUCUUUCUUCUAACUCCUUGACUUAAUGAUGGAGUUAGAUGUGAUCAAGUGUGCGUCUUCAUAAAAUAUUUAGCUUAAAACAAAUCUGUAUUCCUUUCCAGUUGUAAAUAUCUUUAGAUCAGUUUCUUAGUGUAUGUGAUGGGGAGAAUACAGAAAUGCUAGUCUGCAAAUCAUCCAGGUGUGUUGUUGUGCCAGGUAGCCUUGUGUAGUUAAUGAGAUAAUACUUUAUUUAAAACCACAAAUGAAUUUCAGGAGAUGAAACCAGACAGAGGGUCAAGUUUACAGAUGACCGUGUCUGCAAGAGUCACCUUCUGGAUUGCUGCCCCCAUGACAUCCUUGCUGGGACGCGCAUGGAUUUAGGAGAAUGUACCAAAAUCCACGACUUGGCCCUCCGAGCAGAUUAUGAGAUUGCAAGUAAAGAAAGAGACCUGUUUUUUGAAUUAGAUGUAAGUCUUUUCAGAUGUUUG
Long non-coding RNA from Peromyscus eremicus (cactus mouse), 1735 nucleotides. RefSeq lists it as uncharacterized. The record is from RefSeq and is a predicted model, not a curated record. Lineage: Eukaryota; Metazoa; Chordata; Mammalia; Rodentia; Cricetidae. The transcript is spliced from 3 exons.